AUGGCUGAGCCGACUAGUGAUUUCGCGACUCCUAUCGGGUGGCCUGCAUCUCCCGGGCUGACUCCCACGUUAGGGCCCCUGACCGACACUGCCCCGCCGCGGGACAGCUGGAUGUUCUGGGCAAUUCUGCCGCCACCGCCACCACCGCUUACGUCCUCGCUUCCCGCAGCCGGGUCAAAGCCUUCCUCUGAGUCGCAGCCCCCCAUAGAGGCCCAGUCUCUCCCCAGGGCUCCGCCCCUCUUUGACGCCCAGCUUCUUCCCGGGGCGCAACCCCCCUUCCACGCACAGUCCCCCCUUGAUUCUCAGCCUCAACCCAGCGGCCAGCCUUGGAAUUUCCAUGCUUCCACAUCGUGGUAUUGGAGACAGUCUUCUGAUAGGUUUCCUCGGCAUCAGAAGUCCUUCAACCCUUCAGUUAAAAAUUCUUAUUAUCCACGAAAGUAUGAUGCAAAAUUCACAGACUUCAGCUUACCUCCCAGUAGAAAACAGAAAAAAAAGAAAAGAAAGGAACCAGUUUUUCACUUUUUUUGUGAUACCUGUGAUCGUGGUUUUAAAAAUCGAGAAAAGUAUGACAAACACAUGUCUGAACAUACAAAAUGCCCUGAAGUAGAUUGCUCUUUUACUGCACACAAGAAGAUUGUCCAGUUCCAUUGGAGAAAUAUGCAUGCUCCUGGCAUGAAGAAGAUCAAGUUAGACACUCCAGAGGAAAUUGCACGGUGGAGGGGAGAAAGAAGGAAAAACUAGCCAACUCUGGCCAAUAUUGAAAGGAAGAAGAAGUUAAAACUUGAAAAGGAGAAGAGAUGAGCAGUACUGACAACAACACAAUAUGGCAAGAUGAAGGGGAUGUCCAGACAUUCACAAAUGGCAAAUAUCAGAAGUCCUGGCGAGAAUCAGAAAUGAAAAAACAAUUAUAGACAGAGAGCAGUCACUGGAUCAGGCAAUCACUUGUGUGAUUUGAAGCCAGAAGGUCCACCUGAGGCAAAUGCAGAUCCUCUUGGUGUUUUGAUAAACAGUGAUUCUGAGUCUGAUAAGGAGGCACAACAUUCUGUGAUACCCAAGGAAGUGACACCAGCCCUAUGCUCACUAAUGAGUAGCUAUGGCAGUCUUUCGGGGUCAGAGAGUGAGCCAGAAGAAACUCCCAUCAAGACUGAAGCAGACGUUUUGGCAGAAAACCAGGUUCUUGAUAGCAGUGCUUCUAAGAGUCCAAGUCAAGAUGUUAAAGCAACUGUUAGAAAUUUUUCAGAAGCCAAGAGUGAGAACCGAAAGAAAAGUUUUGAAAAGACAAACCCUAAGAGGAAAAAAGAUUAUCACAACUAUCAAACGUUAUUCGAACCAAGAACACACCAUCUAUAUCUCUUGGAAAUGCUUCUAGCUCCGGACAUUCGACAUGAAAGAAAUGUGAUUUUGCAGUGUGUUCGGUACAUCAUCAAAGAAGACUUUUUUGGACUGGAUACUAAUUCUGCGAAAAGUAAAGAUGUAUAG
Molecule: long non-coding RNA, 1479 nt
Filed under: Homo sapiens (human)
Lineage: Eukaryota; Metazoa; Chordata; Mammalia; Primates; Hominidae
Description: non-protein coding lnc-EYS-4:1
Source: RNAcentral